GAAUAAUCUGGAAACAGGUUAGCCGUAAGGCAAAUGUGAAGGUGCUGCAUGGUUGUCGUCAGCUCGUGCCGUGAGGUGUCGGCUUAAGUGCCAUAACGAGCGCAACCCUUAUCUUUAGUUACUAACAGGUUAUGCUGAGGACUCUAGAGAGACUGCCGUCGUAAGAUGUGAGGAAGGUGGGGAUGACGUCAAAUCAGCACGGCCCUUACGUCCGGGGCUACACACGUGUUACAAUGGGGGGUACAGAAGGCAGCUACCUGGUGACAGGAUGCUAAUCCCAAAAGCCUCUCUCAGUUCGGAUCGAAGUCUGCAACCCGACUUCGUGAAGCUGGAUUCGCUAGUAAUCGCGCAUCAGCCAUGGCGCGGUGAAUACGUUCCCGGGCCUUGUACACACCGCCCGUCAAGCCAUGAAAGCCGGGGGUACCUGAAGUACGUAACCGCAAGGAGCGUCCUAGGGUAAAACUGGUAAUUGGGGCUAAGUCGUAACAAGGUAGCCGUACCGGAA
This 505-nucleotide ribosomal RNA is filed under the name uncultured bacterium. RNAcentral's name for it is "bacterial SSU rRNA". It matches the Rfam family "Bacterial small subunit ribosomal RNA", at positions 993 to 1510 of the family's 1533-position model. The record is from RNAcentral.